GACGAACGCUGGCGGCGUGCUUAACACAUGCAAGUCGAGCGAUGAAGUUUCUUCGGAAAUGGAUUAGCGGCGAACGGGUGAGGAACACGUGAAGAAUCUGCCCUCCACUUUGGGAUAACACAGGGAAACCUGUGCUAAUACCGAAUAUUGAAACAUAAGUGGCAUCACUGAGUUUUGAAAGAAUUUCGGUGGAGGAUGACUUCGCGGCCUAUCAGCUAGUUGGUGAGGUAAUGGCUCACCAAGGCAACGACGGGUAGCCGGCCUGAGAGGGCGACCGGCCACACUGGGACUGAGACACGGCCCAGACUCCUACGGGAGGCAGCAGUGGGGAAUAUUGGGCAAUGGAGGAAACUCUGACCCAGCGACGCCGCGUGCGGGAUGAAGGCCUUCGGGUUGUAAACCGCUUUCAGUAGGGAAGAAGCGAAAGUGACGGUACCUACAAAAGAAGCACCGGCUAACUAUGUGCCAGCAGCCGCCGUAA
RNAcentral lists this ribosomal RNA (481 nucleotides) under uncultured bacterium. Its description in RNAcentral is "partial 16S ribosomal RNA". It matches the Rfam family "Bacterial small subunit ribosomal RNA", at positions 28 to 523 of the family's 1533-position model. The record is from RNAcentral.